UCACUUACCUGGACGGGGUCAAUGGGUGAUCAAGAAGGUCCAUGGCCUAGGUUGGUGACCUCCAUUGCACUUAGGAGGGGUGCCCGCCUAAGGUCGGCCCAAGUGGUCGAGCCUACGUCAUAAUUUGUGGCAGUGGAGGCAAGCGUUCGCGCGGCCUCUU
Molecule: small nuclear RNA, 160 nt
Filed under: Helianthus annuus (common sunflower)
Lineage: Eukaryota; Viridiplantae; Streptophyta; Magnoliopsida; Asterales; Asteraceae
Description: U1 spliceosomal RNA
Rfam family: U1 spliceosomal RNA
About the family: U1 is a small nuclear RNA (snRNA) component of the spliceosome (involved in pre-mRNA splicing). Its 5' end forms complementary base pairs with the 5' splice junction, thus defining the 5' donor site of an intron. There are significant differences in sequence and secondary structure between metazoan and yeast U1 snRNAs, the latter being much longer (568 nucleotides as compared to 164 nucleotides in human).
Source: RNAcentral